GGGAGGUAGGUGACAAUAAAUAACAAUACGGGGUUCUUUCGGAUCUCGUAAUUGGAAUGAGUACAAUUUAAAUCUCUUAACGAGGAACAAUUGGAGGGCAAGUCUGGUGCCAGCAGCCGCGGUAAUUCCAGCUCCAAUAGCGUAUAUUAAAGUUGUUGCAGUUAAAAAGCUCGUAGUUGAAUUUCGGGAUUAGCAGGUCGGUCGUGCCACUGGUACGUACUGGUCUUGCUGAUUCCUCCCUCUUGACGAGCCGUAAUGCCAUUAAUUUGGUGUUGCGGGGAAUCAGGACUGUUACUUUGAAAAAAUUAGAGUGUUUAAAGCAGGCAUGCGCUUGAAUACAUUAGCAUGGAAUAAUGAAAUAGGACGUUCGAUCUUAUUUUGUUGGUUUCUAGGAUUGACGUAAUGAUUAAUAGGGAUAGUUGGG
This 424-nucleotide ribosomal RNA is filed under the name uncultured Glomeraceae. Its description in RNAcentral is "SSU rRNA". It matches the Rfam family "Eukaryotic small subunit ribosomal RNA", at positions 459 to 886 of the family's 1831-position model. The record is from RNAcentral. Lineage: Eukaryota; Fungi; Glomeromycota; Glomeromycetes; Glomerales; Glomeraceae.